AGGCCUCCCCCUUUUGUGAACCAACCUGUUGCUUCGGGGGAGACCCGCCGUUUCGGGCGGCUCCCCCGGGGCCCAUUAACACUGCGUAACUGUUUAGUCGGAGUCUUAAUAAAUCAAUCAAAACUUUCAACAACGGAUCUCUUGGUUCUGGCAUCGAUGAAGAACGCAGCGAAAUGCGAUAAGUAAUGUGAAUUGCAGAAUUCAGUGAAUCAUCGAAUCUUUGAACGCACAUUGCGCCCCCUGGUAUUCCGGGGGGCAUGCCUGUCCGAGCGUCAUUACACCCCUCAAGCCUGGCUUGGUAUUGGGCGUCGCGGGCCUCGCCCGCCGCUAAGCUCCCCGGCUGGACCGUCCGUCCCUAAGCGUCGUGCAAACCUCGCGGGGUUUGAUGGCCGGCCGUAAUCUUUAUCAAAGG
Molecule: small RNA, 412 nt
Filed under: Mycosphaerellaceae sp. 2262 FePP
Lineage: Eukaryota; Fungi; Ascomycota; Dothideomycetes; Mycosphaerellales; Mycosphaerellaceae
Description: eukaryotic LSU rRNA
Rfam family: 5.8S ribosomal RNA (bases 122-275)
Source: RNAcentral